Molecule: ribosomal RNA, 523 nt
Filed under: uncultured Glomus
Lineage: Eukaryota; Fungi; Glomeromycota; Glomeromycetes; Glomerales; Glomeraceae
Description: SSU rRNA
Rfam family: Eukaryotic small subunit ribosomal RNA
Source: RNAcentral
AGCAGCCGCGGUAACUCCAGCUCCAAUAGCGUAUAUUAAAGUUGUUGCAGUUAAAAAGCUCGUAGUUGAAUUUCGGGGUCAGUAAGUUGGUCGUGCCACCGGUAUGUACUGGCUUUGCUGAUUCCUCCUUCUUGUAGAACCGUAAUGCCAUUCAGUUGGUGUUGCGGGGAAACAGGACUGUUACUUUGAAAAAAUUAGAGUGUUUAAAGCAGGCUAACGCCUGAAUACACUAGCAUGGAAUAAUGAAAUAGGACGAGCGAUCUUAUUUUGUUGGUUUCUAGGAUUGACGUAAUGAUUAAUAGGGAUAGUUGGGGGCAUUAGUAUUCAAUUGUCAGAGGUGAAAUUCUUGGAUUUAUUGAAGACUAACUUCUGCGAAAGCAUUUGCCAAGGAUGUUUUCAUUAAUCAAGAACGAAAGUUAGGGGAUCGAGGACGAUCAGUUACCGUCGUAGUCUUAACCACAAACUAUGCCGACUAGGGAUCGGACGAUGUUAAUUUUUUAAUGACUCGUUCGGCGCCUUACGG